GUGAUAUCAGGUGAAUCGUGGAUGUAAUUUCAAGUGACUUUGAGACGAGAUGUGAUUUGUGUUUUUUCGGACAAUCGCGCGAGUGACUUUUGCUAAAAUUUAAAGGACUCUGAAUCUGAAGACGUUAGAACAAUGCCUGCAGUAUGCUGUUGCCUGAUGAAACCUACGAACAAAAUGCUGUAUUCACGGGGCAUAUCUUGGCAAUGCUUCGGAUGUAUGACGACUUUCUGUACCACUACAGGAUACGGCCUGAGUUUUUUUGCAGAUAUAAAGAAAAGCAGGCUUUGCAGAAGAGAUUAACCCGCGCUCUAACUGCCUCACGUAAUAAACAAGCUAGCUCUAAAUGCAGGGAUGCAUCAUCCUCAAAUGAGGCAGUUCACUUACAGCAGCGUCUUCGAAGUCUAAGCACUGAGCUUGUAACGCUAAGAAACCGGCUCCAUGUCCAAGGAGGACAGCCGGCCACCGUAAAAGGCGGUGGCGGACCUAUUCCUCCCCUUGCACCUGUCUCGACUGCACCACAGCCAGCAGUACCACCAAGGUCUGCACACAACAACGUACCUGCACCAAUAGGCUCUGUAACUCAACAACAACGACCUCAGGCGCCUUCCAGCGGUUCCUCGUCGAACCUCGAAGAUCUAAUCCAUCUUCAUGGACCGCUCACUGAAGAUGCAGUCAUGAAAUGUUUACAAGCGCGAUUUCAAGCAUCCAACUUUUACACAAACGUUGGUCCGAUUCUGCUGUGUGUAAAUCCGUACAAAGAGGUCGGCAAUCCGUUGACACUGAGCAGUACAAGGGGAAUAGCGUUAAGUCCACAAUUAAAUAAGGUUGUCCAGGAGGCCGUUCGACAGCAAUCCGAAACUGGAUAUCCUCAAGCCAUAAUCUUAUCAGGAACCAGUGGUUCUGGCAAAAGCCAUGUUUCUAUGUUACUAUUGCGACAACUGUUUGCCGUAGCAGGGGGAGGUCCAGAGACUGACGCGUUUAAGCAUUUGGCUGCUGCUUUUACAGUAUUACGUUCCUUAGGGUCUGCGAAGACUAUGACCAAUUCGGAAUCUAGUCGAAUUGGUCAGUUCAUAGAAGUUCAGGUAACUGAUGGAGCCUUAUACCGCACGAAAAUUCACUGUUACUUUUUGGACCAAACUAGAGUGAUACGACCAUUACCAGGUGAAAAAAAUUACCAUAUCUUUUACCAAAUGCUCGCUGGGUUAUCGACUGAGGAGCGGACUAAACUUAAUCUAGAAGCACAAACAAUAACGUCGUUAAGGUAUCUCCAGUAUGGAGAUACACGGCAGGACACUAUUGAAGAUUCGAAUAGGUUUCAAGCUUGGAAAAACUGUUUAGGAAUCUUGGGCAUACCAUUCCUGGACGUUGUAAGGGUCCUAGCAGCAGUUCUUCUUCUGGGAAAUGUGCAAUUUAUGGACGGAAAAGGUCUGGAAGUCGACGUCAAAGGCGAAGCCGAACUAAACGCCGUCGCUGGACUAUUAGGAGUCUCAGGUGGCGCCCUUUUCCGAGGCCUCACUUCCCGCACUCACAACGCUAGAGGCCAGCUCGUGAAAUCCGUGUGUGAUGCCAAUAUGUCAAACAUGACAAGAGACUGUCUCGCGAAAGCUUUAUAUUGUCGUACUGUAGCUACCAUAGUUCGUAGAGCUAAUAGUCUUAAGAGGUUAGGAUCUACAUUAGGAACUUUAAGUUCCGACUCGAAUGAAUCGGUUCAUAACCAAGCGGAAGUGACGAGCCAGCAUGCUUCUACUAUAGGUGGGAGUACUAACGCAGGAAGUAAGUCAAUGGCAGCAUUAAACAACGCCAUUAGACACGCGACUGAUGGGUUUAUAGGAAUACUUGAUAUGUUUGGUUUUGAAGAACCAAAACCAAGCCAGCUAGAACACCUUUGUAUUAACCUAUGUGCAGAAACUAUGCAGCACUUUUACAAUACUCAUAUAUUCAAGUCUAGCAUAGAAUCUUGCAGAGAUGAAGGCAUCAAUUGUGAAGUAGAAGUAGACUAUGUAGACAACGUACCAUGCAUUGAUUUAGUCUCAUCUUUGCGAACUGGUUUGUUAAGUAUGCUUGAUGUUGAAUGUUCUAUCCGUGGUACAGCCGAGUCGUAUGUGUCAAAGAUAAAAGUUCAACACAAAAAUAAUUCUAGACUGUUCGAUCCGAAACCGAUUGAUCCAAGAUUGUUUUGCAUCCAACAUUUUGCUGGUAAAGUUGUAUAUGACGCCACAGAUUUCCUGGAUACCAAUAAAGAUGUUAUUCCAGACGAUCUGGUAGCUGUGUUUUAUAAACAUAGUUGCAAUUUUGGUUUUGCGACGCACUUAUUUGGAAGCGAGCUCAAAGCUUUAUAUUCCGUGGAAACUGUUCCUAGAGGAGUCAGUUUCCGAAUAUCUCCUACUUCUCAUACAGAUCUUUUAAAUGGAGAUGAACCAGUGUCGACUUUAACACAAGACUUCCACACUCGUCUGGAUAACUUAUUGCGCACUCUGGUACACGCAAGGCCACACUUUGUCCGCUGUAUUUGCAGUAACUCACAAGAAGCAGCCAACAGGUUCGAAAGAGGUAUAGUAGUACGACAAAUCAGGUCUCUACAAGUGCUAGAAACUGUUAAUUUGAUGGCAGGUGGUUAUCCCCAUAGAAUGAGGUUUAAAGCUUUUAAUAUGAGGUAUCGAUGUCUAGCACCGUUUGCUAAACUGAACAGAACUGAAGAAAAAGUAACAGACGAUUGUAAUUUAAUUCUUCAGUACGUCAUGGACUCAAUAGGUAAACAACAAAGUCUUGUGUCUACAAGUUACGCUAUGGGAAAGAGGCAUAUCUUUUUAAGCGAAGGAAUAAGGCAGCAGCUUGAAAAGCUGAGGUCUGAAACUCGACAGAAAGCAGCUACCUUAAUUCAGUCUUGUUGGAGAGGUUGGCAUUGUCGAUAUAGAAUGUCAGCUAUUCGUCGAGAAAAAACUGUCAAUCAACCACCAGUAUCUAGGACAGCAAUCGGAGGAACACGACCAAGGCCUCAACCCAUCGCUGGUACUCCACCACCCGAUCCUAAUGAGAAAUGCGACGCGAAAAUCAUCCAACAAACUUGCAAUCUCUUUGGACUGGAUUUGGAGAGGCCUCCCCCUGUUCCUCCGAGUAGAUCGUACACAGUAACAGGAAAUACCAAGUUGGGUUACCCGCAAACCAGAGUCAUGAAAAUGACGUAUCCUGAAGAUACUACUACUGGCGACGAUGGUCCAGUUUUACUGAAAGGAGAGACUGUAUUAGUAGUAGGAGCUUCACAUCGUAGAGGUCAUUUAAUCGUUGAACAUAAACAUUGUACGCUUCAUGUGCCCUUUCAGUUUUUGGAACUGAAACAAAGUGUUAAUAUUUAAUCUUGCCAUUUGUCUUCCGCGGUCACUCUAUGGGUGCCACUAUAGUAUGCGAUUUAUCCCGAGGAUGCGGUCUACCUGUGCGUAAUAUUAUAGUGUGCGGUCUACUGAUAUCAAUUUGAAAAUUUCUGAAGGGUUUGUGCAAGAUAGUGAAAUGUAGGAAAACUCUUGUAGAAAAAAAUAUUUAUUCACAAGUAAUAAACAUUUGCAGGAAAAUAAAUAAUGUAAAAUGAAAGAGGACUCUAAUAGUUUACAAACAAAAUGCAAUCCAACUAGCUACUUACAAAAAGAAUUAUGUAUAACCUAAUUAUUUAAAAACAAUACAGCUUAAUUAUUAUUAAGAUGAUGGGUACGCAUUUUCGGCUGAAAUGCUAUUCAAGUGGGGAUUCAUUUUUUUCGAAUCCUGAGAAAACUUAUAAGUAUUUUUGAAAAAUUUAAACGCAGAAUGAAAGAUUACGUUAUUAGUGAGGGCCGAAGUUCCUGAGAACUUCUAUAAUGUUUAUUUUAAUAAGUUACAGAAAUGAAAAACUAAGAGAAAAUUUAGUGUGAUUUUUAAUUUCAAAUAUCUCAUUCAAAAUAAACUUUUUAUUUCUUCUAAGGGACUUCAGGCCCUCAGUAAUAAUUAAGUCUUUCAUUCUGCGUUUAAAUUUUUUAAAAGUAUAUAUUAGUUUUUCAGGAUUCGAAAAAAAUGGACACCAUGUCCGUGGUAAUAUUUUCCAAAUCUAUCUUUGUCUUACAACGCACUCAGUCGAAUAGAAUAUUGUCAGCAUAUUGUUAGUCAGACAUUGACCAUCAGUGACAAUUUUAAAUAUUUGACAUGGCAUCGAGAAUAUUUUGAGUUGUUGAUUAAAUAAUAUACAUAUAUAGUGUAUUUGAUAAAUAAUUGAUUUAUGACGUGAACUUAAUAAAACGUUAUUUAUUGUGUAUUAUUUGUGGAAGAUCCAAGCAGAGAAUACAUCAGGAUAAUAUAUUCUGUGAUCCAAGUAUUUUGUUGUUAAAGAUGUUCAAAAUUGUAAGCGUUCCAUAGUAACAAUAUAUUAUUAAAAAAUAACUUAACACUUUUUCUCUUUUCUCGAUUGAGUAUUAGUUUUUGUUGUACAUAUAAAUUAUUACAAUCACUGAAUACAUAGUGAAAAAAUUAUCACACUUAUUAACUGAAUUAAUAAUUUGCAAUUAUACAAAUAACAGUUAUCCAAGAACAUUGAAAAGCCAUCUCGUUAAGUUAAUGAUGACAUUUUCAAGUAGAAUGACAUUCUAGUAAUGUUUACAUAUCCAUACCAGUGUGAAUUUUACUACACGUAAUUUGCCGUGUAAAGACAGAAAAAGUAGGGAUAGCCGUAAAAUAUUUGCGAAUUAUUUACCCAUGGCCUUAAAGAAGAAAUUCAUGCACCUUAAUUUAAGAUGUGAAUUAUUCUAGCUUAAAAACGUCAUGUCGGCAUCAUAACCAAGAAUUAAAAAAAAUACCCUAUCUAUUCGCAAAAUUAAAUUUCGACAGGGCGCUCAAAAUUUCAAAGAUGGACGAUAACUCUAGGAAAACAAUUCAUUUUGUCAUUUGGCGUCACAGUUCUAAAACGUUAAAUCAAAAUCAUUUACACGAGUGUUUUGCCUAAGUAACCACUAAGUUUUGCCAUUAAGACAUCUUAUAGAUUAAAGACGACUCAAAAUUAUGUUUCACCUGUAUGCAUUUAUUAAAAUUUGAUGCUAACUACUGAUUUGAUUUUACCUUUUUUCAUAAAAAUAUCUGGCCCUUCGAUAAUCACACAGCGUUUUAAAAAUUAUUAAUCUAUAUUAGAAUUUCUAAUUUUGUUUUUAAUUUAGUUAAUAGGUACACUACAAUUUAUUUUACACCAACAGAUAACCAUUUUUAAUUAAAUAAAAACUGGAAACUAAGUAGGUGAAUUUAUUUUAUAAUAAUUAUUGUGUUCUGGAAAUUAUGAGGUGGUCGGAAUAUUUUGCAUAACUGUGUACAUUCUAUGUACAGAAUAUAUACUACAUUUUAUUUAUUUAUUUAGUUUUGCAGUCGCUUAAACAUUAAAAAAUACUACGUUUAGUACAAACGCUAAAUUAACAAAAUGUGUGAUUUCGCAUUGGUUAAUUUACGUCAUUACGUAGAGUACAAUAGGAAUGAAUACUGAGGAACACUGCAAUAGUUUUUUUUAAGUCGAAAUCAAUGUUAAUUACAAGAUAAACUGACCGCAAAUAUGUACACAAAUUAAUGACAAAGUCAAUGUUUUCCUAGAGUUGAUGCUUGUCAAAUUCGCCACCAGACUUCGCCCCUUUUGCGGUUCCUCGCCAAUAUACAGCCUACAUACGGUUUGUUGCCUUUCAAUAUUGUGUGCAAACCCUUCUAAGAAAAUAUUAUCGUGUCAUUUAGUCACAUGUAGACCGCAAGCUAUAGAAGAAACCCGAUGGUAGACCGCAUACAUAGUGGCACCACUUUAUGACAGGUACUGAUAUAUUCGCUUUUAAGGUUAUUCUAUUUAAUUGAAAACAUGUAUAUUUCGUAAUUAUACACUGAACAGUAUUUUUAUAUAAGAAUCGACUUACAUGGUGCACUAUAGUACGUAGUCUGUAUAGUAGACGAGGAAUUAUUUGGUACCAACAUUUUGAUGUUAAAUUAUUUAAUGAUAAGUUGGGGACAGUUAAUAUUUUUGCAAAAAUAAGUUUAAAACUUAAAAACAAUCAUUUAUCUUCUACUUAUGGUGCCUAUCCAAUCCAUACAUUUGUCCAUACUUAUGUUAGACAUUAACCCGGCUAUUUUGACUUUAUUAACAGUUCCCCUAAAAAGUCCGGUAGUUGCCAAGUUAAACCAUUUUUGUAAGUUAUGAAGCCAAUCAUUUAGAGUUGUUUGAAAUGUUAUAUAAUAAGUACAAUUUUUUAUUUGCUUUCUCCUACUUUCGUCGUCUCUUGUGAUUAUAUAUUAUAAAAUCCGGAGAUACGGAAUGCAGCCAGAAAGCAGUUUAUUAACGAAAAGUCUGAGAUUUAAAAUAUUGUUUAUUAUAUUUUUAUUUCAAUUAUUCUAAUUGUUUAAAAGGUAGUAAACUUUGUAUCUGGGGAUUUUCGUUGUUUUCCUCGUAAUACGAGAGAUGUCGCUAAAUUGCGUCUCAGAGGUGGGUUCAUUGCAUUGCGAUGGUUUGCCUUAAAUUGGCAGAAUUGUUUGUAUUUCCUUCAGAGUUGAGACUUCUGAGCUUCACUGAUGAGGCAUAAGGAUGCUGAAAUAGCUAUAUGGAGAUGGUGGUCCAACUCUGAAUCAAAUAUAAACAAAACCUGCCUUGAUCUUUUUUAUCUUUUUCAUUUUUACUCAGUUUGAGUAUUUAGAAACUGUCCUUCGGUCCUUUUCCUUGACGAAGGGAAGGUAAAUGCGUGGCCUAAGCGUCCUCUAUUUGCUUUCUCCUACUUUCGUCGUCUCUUGUGAUUAUAUAUUGUAAAAUCCGGAGAUACGGGAUGCAGCCAGAAAGCAGUUUAUUAACGAAAAGUCUUAGAUUUAAAAUAUUGUUUAUUAUAUUUUUAUUUCAAUUAUUCUAAUUGUUUAAAAGGUAGUAAACUUUGUAUCUGGGGCUUUUCGUUGUUUUCCUCGUAAUACGAGAGAUGUCGCUAAAUUGCGUCUCAGAGGUGGGUUCAUUGCAUUGCGAUGGUUUGCCUUAAAUUGGCAGAAUUGUUUGUAUUUCCUUCAGAGUUGAGACUUCUGAGCUUCACCGAUGAGGCAUAAGGAUGCUGAAAUAGCUAUAUGGAGAUGGUGGUCCAACUCUGAAUCAAAUAUAAACAGAACCUGCCUUGAUCUUUUUUAUCUUUUUCAUUUUUACUCAGUUUGAGUAUUUAGAAACUGUCUUUCGGUCCUUUUCCUUGACGAAGGGAAGGUAAAUGCGUGGCCUAAGCGUCCUCUAUUUGCUUUCUCCUACUUUCGUCGUUUCUUGUGAUUAUAUAUUGUAAAAUCCGGAGAUAUGGGAUGCAGCCAGAAAGCAGUUUAUUAACGAAAAGUCUUAGAUUUAAAAUAUUGUUUAUUAUAUUUUUAUUUCAAUUAUUCUAAUUGUUUAAAAGGUAGUAAACUUUGUAUCUGGGGCUUUUCGUUGUUUUCCUCGUAAUACGAGAGAUGUCGCUAAAUUGCGUCUCAGAGGUGGGUUCAUUGCAUUGCGAUGGUUUGCCUUAAAUUGGCAGAAUUGUUUGUAUUUCCUUCAGAGUUGAGACUUCUGAGCUUCACUGAUGAGGCAUAAGGAUGCUGAAAUAGCUAUAUGGAGAUGGUGGUCCAACACUGAAUCAAAUAUAAACAAAACCUGCCUUGAUCUUUUUUUAUCUUUUACAAUUUUUUACUUUGUGGACCCGUAUAUCUCAGGGGGUAGCAUGUCGUGACUUCCACGCAGUUAGGCUAGGGUUCGAAACCCAGCACCAGCGAGAACAUCUAGACAUUUUUAAAUGUUUAUAGUGCCCAAGUCGACUCCGCCUGAAUAAAAUGAGUACCUUGGGUAAAACCAGGGGUAAUAAUAGGCAGUUGAAGCGUAGCACUGGCCCUGUUAAUACCUUUCUUGUAUACCGUAGGCGCUAGAUAUAACAGACUACCCUUCUAUAAUCCCAAAGCCACGUUAGCGGUAUGAAACGGGAGACUAUUCUUAUUACAAUGUUUUAGCAAAAAAUCAGACGGCUAUAGCCGCUACUCUCGCCCUAGACAUGUACUUAUGUACUUUAUAGCACUUACAAGGCGGUUUAUAUCGUACAAAAUAAAUUUACAAGUUUUUAACCCUUUAAUGCGCAGAACUCAUUGUUCUUAAGACGAACAUUUUCGAAAAAUUUGAAAUCAAAUUAAAUAAAUAAGGUGCCUGAUAGAAAAAACGGAAAUUAUCUUCAAACUUUUCUUUUAUGGGGUGGUAAAUAUUGCUAUUACUGGGCUUUUGACUGGGCUUGAAUGGUAUAGCUGUAGCAACAACGAAUUGUUUCGGUCAGCAGUUUCGAAAAUACGUAUAGCCCUGAUGAUCGCCAACCUUCGGAACGAAGAUGGCACUUGAAGAAGAAGACUGGGCUUUUGAGCACUUACCAUAGUUCAGUUGGUUAAUUUUUGGCUCGAAGGACCAAUGUUUAUGUAGGAAGUCUAACUGUAGGCUUUGUAGAGGGUGAAUUCGAUUGUGAGGAAAUAUUUAAAGAAGACGACGAAUCCUUAAAUAAAAAAUAAUUGUUGGUGAAUUGUGCUCGGUAGAAUCCCUGAUCAGUAGGGAUGGCGGUUAUUGACAAAACACCGGUUUUCAGUUAUACCGGAUUUUUUACUUACGGUUAUAACCGCCUGCUUCUAUCCUAUUCUGUGGCCUUGUCUAGAAGUAUAAAUAGACAAUUUCGUUUGUAUACAACCGGCAACAUUGCAUUUUAGUAACAGAACAACAUAAUCAAAAGUUAUAUUGGCGGACAUGGAUAUCAAAAUUGCCGACAGCGUUCUGGAUAAAGUUAAAUUAAUAUAAAAAUGUUAAAAAUUUGGUACCAAAAGUUCUUGUGUCUAAUCUUUCGUAUUCAUUGUAUAAAUUGAAAACAAUGGCUCUUAGUGCCAUAUACUAGUACUUAUAUAAAUAAUCGCGACAAUAUAAUGAAAUAUAAUAAAGUUUUUUCAUUUCGUUUUCAAAUUAUAGGUCUUAGCGUUUAAUAUAUCGACAAUAUUAAAUCUAAGAAAAAAUCUAUGGUCUUCGUUUACUUAUGUAAGAAUAUAUUUUAUACAAUUGUACAAAUUAUAAAGUAUUUUAAAUAUAUUUAAUUUCUAUACA
This 9088-nucleotide unclassified non-coding RNA is filed under the name Diabrotica virgifera virgifera (western corn rootworm). RNAcentral describes it as "unconventional myosin-IXAa". The record is from RNAcentral. Lineage: Eukaryota; Metazoa; Arthropoda; Insecta; Coleoptera; Chrysomelidae.